CAGGCUCGGUGGCCCUAACUCAGCCCUGGGCUCAUUGCUUCUCAGCAGGCUCAGUGGCCGUAACUGAGUUCUGGGCUCAUUACUCAUCUGAUGAGCAACUUGGACUUUGUCCUUAUUAAAUUCAGAACAGGAGUGAACUGGGCAGACCAAGCUGGCCUUCUGCUUUCUGAGUCAGCCUCUGCUAGUGGGACCCUGGGUCUAUAGCCCCCUCAGCAGGGCUCAGCCUUCAUCUUUCUUGUCAGAAGCUCAGCUUGUGGGUUUGGGCCCUGGGCCGCUGUUGGUUUCUCUUCGUGGCAGUGGCGGUUUCCAGGUUGACUGCUGACGGACUUGGCUCCUCCACGCUCAGGCAGGUUGCUGGACCAGCACCCACAGAGAUGGUAUUGGAGCCUCCAAAGUCACUGGCUGAAGUCCACCCCAGCUAAGGUGAGGACACAGUGGAGACACCGUCUAUGAACCAAGAUCAAGCCCUUACCUGACACUGAGUCUGCUGGUACCUUCAUCUUGGACUUCUGGUCUCAGCCCUGUGGAGUUUGGUGAUAGCAGGGUGAGAUGACAAGAAGCAUAUUUUACGUUGUAAGUGACAGAGGGGGAAAAAACCUGGCUUGAAAAUACAGGCUUAGACAAGGGAGUUCUGCAGAGACUCAGAACCAUGUAACUCCCAGUUACUGGGGUCGGCACCAGUUGCCCCCCUUCCCGCUUUCUAGCACCUGGACUAGAUCAGACACUUCGUCACCUAACUCGCACGGCUAGCCGCUGGUAGCAGCAUGAUGAAAAUUACUUACGGACGUUACUGUGACUUCAGCAUCCACGUCUCCAGCUGGACAGCAGCUCCUUAGGGCGUUGCUGGUACCCAACACACAGUGGGGACUUUAUAAACGUUGUGAACAUCAUGCCCCAACUCAUCAACUGCUUCUAACAUGAUUUUCUUUAAAAAACACAGACUUCUUUUCAUCCUCACCUUGAAGCUUGCUAUUACUGAAUUAUCACAAAUUCCCAUGAGACCAUCCAACAACCAGAGGAAUUAUUUGAAAACACUAUAUCCAUUUUGUGAGUUUUUCAGCUCGCAUAGACAAUGUAUUUCCCUAAAACUUUGCUCUAACUCUGCAUUUCAUUUGGAGCUAUUUUUCAACAUGGCAUCUGAAGUCACUUUUCUGCCUCUGGGUUGGGUGAUUCUGAGCUUCCAUUAUCUUCAGGCUGAAGUGGGAUAAUUUGUCAGCUUGGUGAUUUGAGGAUGGGUUCUACCUGGCUAUGUGCUCUCUCUGCUGAAUGCUGGACUGACCCAUCUCUGUCCUCCUCCCACAUGGCAGGUCCCAUCAGGGUCUGGGCUUGCUCCUGGUGAGCAAGUUAAAGUAAUCAGAGCAGUUGUAGGAAAAACUAAACUCUGCCAGAAGGAGCCACACGUAGAAGAGUUCCCUCCCCCGUAUCAUGGAGUUGGGACACAGGGGGGGUUUGAGACGCACCAGAGCAAGUCUCUGAGAGUACUCUGAGCUUGACAGCAAGCGUGACACCUGGCCAGGUGAGAAGACAAGCCAGGGUAGCACUGAUGUGGCCCACUUGCUGGUUUUUAUGUUUGGCAUCAUUGAAUUUUCCAUUCCUUUCAUUAGUUCUGACCAAAGACACCAAAUGGAAUUCCCCAAAGGCCCGUCUCCCUAUCUACAGGUGGGGGCUCCUGGGUGGGGACAUGAGGGGCCUCUGGGUGGCCUGUGCCC
Molecule: long non-coding RNA, 1709 nt
Organism: Nycticebus coucang (slow loris)
Lineage: Eukaryota; Metazoa; Chordata; Mammalia; Primates; Lorisidae
Exons: 3
Source: RefSeq, a predicted model, not a curated record